This 397-nucleotide ribosomal RNA is filed under the name uncultured bacterium. Its description in RNAcentral is "partial 16S ribosomal RNA". It matches the Rfam family "Bacterial small subunit ribosomal RNA", at positions 523 to 918 of the family's 1533-position model. The record is from RNAcentral.
AUACGAAGGGUGCAAGCGUUACUCGGAAUUACUGGGCGUAAAGCGUGCGUAGGUGGUUGUUUAAGUCUGUCGUGAAAGCCCUGGGCUCAACCUGGGAAUGGCGAUGGAAACUGGGCGACUAGAGUGUGGCAGAGGGUAGUGGAAUCCCUGGUGUAGCAGUGAAAUGCGUAGAGAUCAGGAGGAACAUCCGUGGCGAAGGCGACUGCCUGGGCCAACACUGACACUGAGGCACGAAAGCAUGGGGAGCAAACAGGAUUAGAUACCCUGGUAGUCCACGCCCUAAACGAUGCGAACUGGAUGUUGGGUGCAAUUUGGCACGCAGUAUCGAAGCUAACGCGUUAAGUUCGCCGCCUGGGGAGUACGGUCGCAAGACUGAAACUUAAAGGAAUUGACGGGG